GCUGGCAUAUAUGAUGAGCGAACUUUUUUCCCCUGCAGAUCGACCAUGUUGAUCUAACUUCCUUAAGCCAGUUUCUGUCUGAUAUGCCAGC
Molecule: small nucleolar RNA, 91 nt
Organism: Prolemur simus (greater bamboo lemur)
Lineage: Eukaryota; Metazoa; Chordata; Mammalia; Primates; Lemuridae
Gene: SNORD12B
Product: small nucleolar RNA, C/D box 12B
Source: Ensembl